This 254-nucleotide ribosomal RNA is filed under the name uncultured bacterium. RNAcentral's name for it is "partial 16S ribosomal RNA". It matches the Rfam family "Bacterial small subunit ribosomal RNA", at positions 524 to 776 of the family's 1533-position model. The record is from RNAcentral.
UACGUAGGGGGCAAGCGUUGUCCGGAAUCAUUGGGCGUAAAGCGCGCGUAGGCGGCCCUGUAAGUCCGUUGUGAAAGUCAAAGGCUCAACCUUUGAAAGCCGAUGGAUACUGCAGGGCUAGAGUCCGGAAGAGGAGAGUGGAAUUCCUGGUGUAGCGGUGAAAUGCGCAGAUAUCAGGAAGAACACCCGUGGCGAAGGCGGCUCUCUGGGGACGGUACUGACGCUGAGACGCGAAAGCGUGGGGAGCGAACAGG